Manis pentadactyla (Chinese pangolin) is the source of this 4731-nucleotide long non-coding RNA. RefSeq lists it as uncharacterized. NCBI's taxonomy places the organism in Eukaryota, Metazoa, Chordata, Mammalia, Pholidota, Manidae. The transcript has 8 exons. The record is from RefSeq and is a predicted model, not a curated record.
GUCAGCUCUUCCCGCAUGCUUGCCAGCUCUGGGCUACCUGCUGUGUGCUAAGUGUGAGGCUCUGUGGCUUACAAGCCGUACAGGGUAUGUGAGAGCUUCCCCUCAGCAAGCGUGUGGUCUAGGAAGGAAGGUGCGAUGUGGAAACAGACAGCUACUGGUAGGAAGGAGCCCCAGAAAUGGCACCUUUUCCUGGAAACUAGGAAGUUCAGAGUGGGACCCUGGCAUUGGGUGGAUUCUGGAAAAUGUGGCAAUGAUCUGUUAGCUCCUGGGACCUGCUCUUCCUUCAGGGAGGCCCUGAACAUUCUGCUUGCAGCCCCUGGCAGCCUACAGAAGCAAAGGCCACCUGCUGGAGGGCCAGAGGCUGAUGCACAGAGGGUAGGCAGAGGGGCCACUCACAGCAGGCUCCCAGAGGGAGUGUUUCUGCCGCAGACUGGUCUGCAUGAGACAUGAGAGGGAAAAGAGCAAGAACAGCCUGAUGAAGUUUGUUUUCAACCUAAAGUGAAGGACCAAGAAUGACUGACCCUACGCAGCCCUCAUCGCCAUUGAUUUACUGGUUCCCAUCAUGGGUCCACGUCAGAAUCACCUGCGGAGAUUUAAAAAGUUGCAAGCACCUGGCUCCACCCGUGGGCAUUCUCACGUUGGAGGACUUAGGGUGGGGCCCAGACAUUUGCUUUAAAAAAUGCUCUGCAGGUCAUUCGGAAAGCAGCCAGGGUGUUGACGCACGCUGUUGAUCAAUGUGGGCUUGGUUGUUCUUUAAACAAAAAUACUCUUAGAGGAGGGCGCUGAUAAUGCCAGUAGGUUUCCGUGCCAAUUCUCCUUCAGAUUGUUCUGUUUGCCAAAAUAGAUACGAGAAGCUCACAUGAAUAGACAGAUAAAAAGCCAACAUUUCACAGGUGGUCUUCCCUAGAAGCACCAAGCAGAGCGUCACUGACCCAGCUGGAGGGUUACUGACUUUCAGUGAGCGUCCAUCAUGUGCUAGGGACAGUGCCGGCCGGUCGCACACACGUUCUCUCAGCUGGUUACUGACUAUUGCUGUUGACACCGUUUGUAGAAGCCCUCAGUGUGAAGUUCGUUUUUUUGGAAUGAGCCAGCUCUCCAGAUGUUUGCAGCCCAGGCGAUGGCCUCUCUAGUGGUGGAGAUUUGGAGCCCAGCUGGCAGGGGAAACAGCCAUUUCCUACUGUCGCUGCUCAGAAAUGCUGGAGGAGACAGUGUAAGGAAAGAAACUGCUCACAUCUCAGGAACAGCCAGUCGUGUUUCACAGCAGUGAACAGCGCUCCGAACCAGUCUUCAGGCUGGAUUCCACUGGGAGGUUUACUCGGGAACCACGACCAUCCCUCCCUUCCACACGACAUGCCGGAUUUCUCUGACGAUUGGCUGUCCACAAAGGGGGCAUGGAAACUGGUGCUCAAUUUAAUGAAAGGGAAGCCCCUAGGGCCUUGUGAUCGCUGCCUUUACUAGGAACUCGAUGAACAAGAGGCCAUAGAUGACAGCAUACGUUCUAGCGGCAACCGGAACUGAUGUUCACCCCGUCAUUCCCAGCUCCCCAGCUGUCCCGGCGAGGGGAGAACAGUCGUUAUGAGAAGCAAAGCGAGGCGGUAAAGGGGAUGAGAUGACACACCGCGCUCUGGCUCUCUCUAAGGAAAGAUGAAACGGCGAAUGGCAAAUACUGGGCUGUUGCCUAAGGACCCGCGGGAUCUGCUGACCCUCGUGGACUCCAAGCCCAGCUGGCUGCCCGUCACGCGCUCGUUCAUGCGAGCAAAAACAAUUAAAGCCCGGCGACUGCACUGGGUGUGCUCGCCCCUGCUCUUGUCUGAGGCGGUGUUCACACUGAGGCUGCAUGAUGCCCUCUCAGGACAGGGCGGGUGUGCUGCCUGUGCUGGUUUCCUGGUUGCCCCGGGCCUUCGGUGUGACACAUGCUCUGUGCAGCAUGGCUGAGGACUUGGCUUCCGACAGGUGUGAUUCCUGUCCUGCCACUCGCAGCACGUGGUCCAAGGUAAGCAGUUCAAUGCCACUAACCCUCAGAUUUCUCACUGGGUUCUUCGAUUAAGUAAAAUAAUGGAUUUUUAAAACCCCAGUACCCAGUGCAUAGUAUGAGCUUAAUAAUUACCCAUUGUUAUAAUUGUCAGCAGCUUUACCAUUAUAAUAAACUGAAAAAAGUUUUAUUCCAUUAUACACACCUGUAAGUGGAUUAGCUUAUUUCACAAAAUUUGUGGGGACCAAAAUACCAUACUUGACAGAAUUAGCAACAUGGCAGUUUUAAUGGGUGUUCAAGAGAAUAAAAAAUAAUGGUUAUACGAUCCAAAAAAGUGAUGGAAGGAGGAAAUGAUUUUUAGAUAACCUGACAAGCUCACCGGCGCCACAUAGGAUCCCAACUUAGACUGUUGGUCAUGAAAAGAAUGCAGCCUGUUUGUAUUUUUCAGAGGACUUCCACAUUUCACAAAGUCUCCUUAUUUGAUGACUGACAAGAUCUGAAUUCUCUAGGGAAUGUCUGGGACGUAGUCGGCACACAAGCAGUUUUCUUGGUGACCUUGACUGCUGGAAACAAGGGUGUCCUGUUUGGGCCUCAAGUUCCCUGAGCACCUUCAGAGUGGCUGCUGAUAAAGGGGAGCCUAGGGAGCAGGCCAGGCUCCCAGCUCAGCGGGGAUGCCAACAGAGAAGGGGGCCCAGCAUCGGAAGCCCCAAAACAAUUACAACAGUAAUAUCACGGGUUGCCAAAACAAAUUCAGUGGUAAUGGAAAACUCUGAAAUGCUGCGAAGGAGGUUCACAGGAAGCAGAGCCAUGAAGGGAGCAGAUGCAGUUGGGAAAAUGGUGCCGACAGGCUUGCUCGGUGCAGGGCGGCCACAGCCUCCGGUCUGUAAAAGUGCCGUGUCCGUGGAGCGCAAUAAAAUGAGGUGCGACUGAACUUCCACCCUCUCACCUUUUGGGACGUGCUUGUAUGGAGGCAUGUUGGGAGGCAGGAUGGGGAAUAGAGAGUGUCGACGAUUAAGGAGCCUUGCCCGACAGAAUGAACCAACAGACUGUUUGCUGACCACGAGGCACCUGGACGUAAAAAUAAAUGUGGAGCCAGAACUGUCACUGCGCAUAUUAUAGUUACGGUCCUGGGCAUGAAAUAACCAGAAUGUGAGCUGUGUCCCUUUGGCUGCUGACCUCCCUGUUCCUUGGCCCCCAUGCACCCUGGGAGAAGUCUCCUCUUUUCCCUUGCAAAAGCACCAAGGGUCUCUGCUUCAAGAAUUACUCGGGGGUUCUCCCACUGUUGCACUGAUGACCAUCUUCCCUCAUCUGCAGCCCUAUGGCAAGUCCCUCCUAUGUCUCUAGUCCGAGAAGACAGGCAGAGAGUCUGCAAUUUUUGGUGUCUUUCCUGGAGCUGGACACAGGGAAUGAGCUACUCAGAUUAUCAACAUCAGGCCAGAUUGGCCACUCUUCCCCAAACCUUUUUAAUUGGGAAAAGUAUUUGUUUUAAAAUCUAGCAAAUAUAAUACAGUUUAGACACUCAACAAUAUCUAUAAAGAGAACCACAAAAAUAGCAUUUUUACUAUUCAUAGUUUGCAGAGAAUGGAUAAGACUCCUUUUCUUAAGAGUUACUUUUCUUUAAAGUAGGCAGUGGUAAUUAAGGGUAAAACAACCAGGCGGUGGUAUUGGAGGUUAGCAACCUUGUGCAGCCCUUGUUUAUGCCUUUAUCCCUACUGGGCUUUCCCUUCCUCCAAAGGCCUGCAGAAGCAGCUGGUGGUUUUUAGUCAUCAAACCGGAGCCCUUUGUUGGAAUUGUUUCUUUGGUGUAUCGUGAGAUGUGCUGUGAGCCAUCUGAUCAGGUCAGUCAUUCCCAUGAUUUGAGCGAGAGCACGUCUGCCUGAAGGCUGAGCUCACACCGUCGCCUGAGGUCACACAGAAGCCAGUGUGCAAGACCUUAUGUUGUGUGUUCCUAAAACAGCAGCUAUUUAAAAAACUGCUUAUUUACCUAUUUACUCACUUACCUCCAGCCUUCUGCCUCCCACCCCAGCUAGAGUAUUGGCUUAUCUGCCGAUGACUAAUGAAUGCAAGUCAGAGCAUUUCACUUUAAAGACAUUAUUUCUCUGUUUAAUGGGUGUGUCAUGAAUACCCAGUCACAUGAGUCUUACUCAGAACCGCGUGGGUUUGUCAGGAGAAAAGCAAUAUGUCUGCGUUGAGUCUCUCCUAUUCCCAUGACUUAUGUACCUGCAGAGGUUUAUGCAAAUGAUCGCCCUGGUGCAAUGUGGUCACAGCACCUCCUGGGAUCAUGGGGCCUUCGGUACCCUAACCCUCUUUGAAAAGGAGAAAUGUGAUUGGGCCACUGGCCCGGGCUCUUCGGGGGCAGUUCCGAUACUGCUGCUGGGUUUGGAUGGCUCGUGGGGAGACUGGGAGCUCCGUUCCUCCUCAUUCUCACCCUGUUCUCUGGUGGUCUCCCUGCCUGGCCUCUGUCCUCCCAGCCACCCACACAGCAGCUGGAGUUCCUCAGGCCCUUGCCUUGGGUCACCCACACUUUCUAGCUCAUGAGGUGCAGACGUCUGAGCUGAUCCCUCCUGACGGUCUCUCUGGUGUAUACUCUCAAUGUGCUGCAGAGCCUCAUCACCGCCCUGGCAACUUUUUCUCCUCUUGCUGAUGCAAGCCCCUCUCAUCUUCUGAAAUAGUAGUGAAAAUGCCCCUUAUUCAGGCAGUGUCCCCUGGUGUGUGGCUUCACCUGAUUCCUAACACACUUCUCAGCACACAAUCGGUUAA